CCAAACAAUGUGGUCAAGAGUAUUAGAUUAGAGAAAGACCGUAUUGCAUUUGUAAUCCCGAAUUGAAUAGGUUCUCUAUCCUCUUCUGAUUAGCUUGGGUAACCAUGAUAUGCUGCUAGGUGUCACUCAUGGUUUGUGGAAGCCCUAAACGUGUGUAAUCACUAAAGGGAGAAUUGAAAAUAGUUUCAAUUCACAAUCUAUGUAAAAUGGUUUUAAUCGCCCACUACCUCGUUAAAAGGAACCUAAUGGAUCGCACACCAUAAAAGGUAGAGAUUGAAGAUUAAACGGAAAUGAGUAAGAAUGAUUAAAUGGUUUAAUCAUUUAUUUAUGGCAAGGAUUAAUUAAUAUGUUAAUUAAUCAAACGAAUAAGUUCGUUAAAUGACUUCGGGAUAGUUUUGGACCUUAAGGCCCAAUGGGCUUCGAACAUCAAGCCCAUUAACUUAAGUUGUAUGACAAUUUAAUGAAUAAAGAUUCAUUAAAGCCCAAAAGCCCAAAACUCCCUAAAUGGCCGGCCAUAUUGUGAUGAAUUAGGGUUUUGGUUAUUUAGGUCACUUAAAGAAGUAACUAUAUAAAUGACUUUAUAGCCAAAUAUUCAUUAAGGAUUAAAAGGGUUUAUUUUGGGGGAAAAUUGGUGAGAAUUGUCUCUCCAUUUUCUCUCUAAAGAGGCCAACACCUU
RNAcentral lists this long non-coding RNA (676 nucleotides) under Malus domestica (apple). RNAcentral describes it as "long non-coding RNA (MDOM_LNC020136)". The record is from RNAcentral. Lineage: Eukaryota; Viridiplantae; Streptophyta; Magnoliopsida; Rosales; Rosaceae.